GUCUCCGUUGGUGAACCAGCGGAGGGAUCAUUAAAAUGAUAGGGUAACCGCCCAAAACCUACUGUGCUCGUGGAAGAAAACACCGCUGAGGCCGGCCGCCCGCUGGGGGGGCCUCGGGCCGCGGGCGGCGCGCCCCUCCGUUGCGAGGUGGUGCGGCGCCCCGGUGGCCGGCCGAAGCAAACCUACUCAAAAACGCGAACCCCCUCGUGGGCAGCAGUUAUCUGAGAAGAACCCAAAUAAAAAAUCACAACCCAUAACAAUGGAUCUCUUGGCUCUGGCAUCGAUGAAGAACGCAGCGAAAUGCGAUAAAUAAUAUGAAUUGCAGAAUUCAGUGAAUCAUCGAGUUUUUGAACGCACAUUGCGCCCUCUGGUAUUCCGGAGGGCAUGUCCGACCGAGCGUCGCACGCACCGCCCGGGAUGAAUAUACAACCCGGUGUUGGGGUUAGCUCGUGGUCCCUUCCCAGGGGCCGCGCCCCCGAAAUGCAGUGGCGACCCCCCGGCGGCGCCCCCAGCGCAGUGAAUCAAGCUCGCUCGGGGACCGCGUGGUAGCGGGCCCGCCGUAAAGCGCGCAAGCAAACAUACCUGAGUUGGCCUCGGGUCGGACAAGAUUACCCGCUGAACUUAAGC
This 627-nucleotide ribosomal RNA is filed under the name Conioscypha nakagirii. Its description in RNAcentral is "eukaryotic LSU rRNA". The stretch from base 249 to 402 matches the Rfam family "5.8S ribosomal RNA". Lineage: Eukaryota; Fungi; Ascomycota; Sordariomycetes; Conioscyphales; Conioscyphaceae. The record is from RNAcentral.